Molecule: small nucleolar RNA, 73 nt
Organism: Boleophthalmus pectinirostris (great blue-spotted mudskipper)
Lineage: Eukaryota; Metazoa; Chordata; Actinopteri; Gobiiformes; Gobiidae
Product: small nucleolar RNA SNORD49
Exons: 1
Source: RefSeq, a predicted model, not a curated record
GCCUAUGAUGAAAACUGUGAAUAGGAAGUGCCGUCUUAUGCGAUAUCUGACGAUGUUUCUCACUGCUCUGAGC